Coffea arabica (coffee) is the source of this 963-nucleotide non-coding RNA. The record is from RefSeq and is a predicted model, not a curated record. Lineage: Eukaryota; Viridiplantae; Streptophyta; Magnoliopsida; Gentianales; Rubiaceae.
CCGACCAGACCUAUUCCUGAUCUUGCCCUUCGCCACCACCCCACUGCCCUUCCUCCUCACCGAAUUCGCCUCCUGUCUCCUCAGAGACAUGACAGUACAGACGCCGGCGGCUUCAUCUAUCUAAGGAAUUAAUUGUUGUGACUUGUGAGAGAGUUGCGAAGGAUAGGAAUAGGUAUUUUGAAUACGAAUGGGUGCGGAAGAAGAGGGGACUGUGGAGGUUAGGAAGAAAGACAAGAAGGAGUCUAAGAAAGGGAAGAAGAAUGAGGUUGCUGAUAUCCAUAUUUGCAAGGGUGAUGGUGGAGGCAAAGAUUCGGGUAAAAGUGCUGAAAAAGACAUGAAAAAGUCUAAGAAAGGGAAGAAAAAUGAGGUUAGGAUAACGAAAUUUAUGAGGGUAAUGGUGGAGGUAAAGAUAAGGUAAUUGAGAGUUGUAAAAGUGCUGAUAAAGAAUGUGGCAAAGGUGGAAAUUUUGAGAAGAAGAAAAAAGAGGAGGAGAAAUAUGAAGUUAGUGAAAGCAGUAAUGAAGGUAAUGGUAGGAGGGAGAGAGGAAAUGAUACGAAGAAAGAUUUUGAGCAUAGUAGGGAAGGAACGAUGGUGUGGAUGUACUGAAGAAGGUCGAAAAGAAGAAGAGAAAGAGAGAGAAGGAUAAGAGAAUUGGCUCUGACGACCAAUUGAAACAGGAAGAACUUGAGGAUGCUAAGCAUGGAAGUCAGUUGAGCAUGAAUGGGACAUGCUCUGAAGCAAUACGAGGGCUAGAGAGGGGGAUGGUGUGGUGAAGGUUGAAAAGAAGAAAAAGAAGAAAUUAAUUAGUGUUCAUUCUGGUGGUUUGCAGCAGGGAAACACUAGUUCGAACGAAACUGAAGCUCAGGAGAACAAGGAUCAAAGUGGAGAAGAAGCUAAACUUGAAGCAAUUGAUGAAGACUGUGAAACGGAAAACGUUGAGGAGCAAAAGAAGAAGAAGAAGAA